RNAcentral lists this unclassified non-coding RNA (178 nucleotides) under uncultured Sordariomycetes. Its description in RNAcentral is "sequence contains ITS1". The record is from RNAcentral. Lineage: Eukaryota; Fungi; Ascomycota; Sordariomycetes.
AAAAAUAGCGGAACGGCCCUUUUGGGCCUGACCUCUUAAACCCCUGUGAACACUACCAGUUUCGUUGCUUCGGCAGGCGGCCCCAGGGCGGGGCUACCGCCUGUUUGCUCAGGUGCCUGCCGAAGGAAACCCCUAAACUCGCUAUAUUGUAUCAUCUGAGUCUACUAUACAAUUAUCA